UUAGCUCAGUGGUUAGAGCAGGCGACUCAUAAUCGCUUGGUCGCUGGUUCAAGUCCAGCA
This 60-nucleotide transfer RNA is filed under the name Escherichia coli. RNAcentral describes it as "tRNA-Met". It matches the Rfam family "tRNA", at positions 7 to 64 of the family's 71-position model. From Rfam's summary of the family: Transfer RNA (tRNA) molecules are approximately 80 nucleotides in length. Their secondary structure includes four short double-helical elements and three loops (D, anti-codon, and T loops). RNAcentral also lists the same sequence under 6 other names. The record is from RNAcentral. Lineage: Bacteria; Pseudomonadati; Pseudomonadota; Gammaproteobacteria; Enterobacterales; Enterobacteriaceae.